This 69-nucleotide transfer RNA is filed under the name Nylanderia flavipes. Its description in RNAcentral is "tRNA-Cys". The record is from RNAcentral. Lineage: Eukaryota; Metazoa; Arthropoda; Insecta; Hymenoptera; Formicidae.
UAUUUUAUAAUUUAUAAAAAAUAUUAAAUUGCAAAUUUAAAAAAAUUCAAAUUAUAAGAAUUAAGAUAU